RNAcentral lists this ribosomal RNA (253 nucleotides) under uncultured bacterium. RNAcentral's name for it is "partial 16S ribosomal RNA". It matches the Rfam family "Bacterial small subunit ribosomal RNA", at positions 524 to 776 of the family's 1533-position model. The record is from RNAcentral.
UACAGAGGUGGCAAGCGUUGUUCGGAAUUACUGGGCGUAAAGGGCGCGUAGGCGGCCUUCUAAGUCAGACGUGAAAUCCCCAGGCUUAACUUGGGAACUGCGUCUGAUACUGGGAGGCUUGAGUGCGGGAGAGGGAUGUGGAAUUCCAGGUGUAGCGGUGAAAUGCGUAGAUAUCUGGAGGAACACCGGUGGCGAAGGCGACAUCCUGGACCGGUAUUGACGCUGAGGCGCGAAAGCCAGGGGAGCAAACGGG